RNAcentral lists this small nuclear RNA (124 nucleotides) under Solanum tuberosum (potato). Its description in RNAcentral is "U2 spliceosomal RNA". It matches the Rfam family "U2 spliceosomal RNA". Rfam says of the family: U2 is a small nuclear RNA (snRNA) component of the spliceosome (involved in pre-mRNA splicing). The record is from Rfam by way of RNAcentral. Lineage: Eukaryota; Viridiplantae; Streptophyta; Magnoliopsida; Solanales; Solanaceae.
ACCCUUUCUCGGCCUUCUGGCCAGGAUAAAGUGUAGUAUAUGUUCUUAUCAGUUCAGCGGUUAUAAGAGUGAUAGUUUGAACAAUAACGUGUCAUUGUUCAAACUAUCAUUCUUAUAACCUCAA